CGGUUGCUGGCGGUGGCCGACCACUGGUCGCUGUUGGCGGCCCAGUCCUCGCCCUGCAGGCUGCCGAUGUACGGAUCUUCGGUGCCCGGC
This 90-nucleotide transfer RNA is filed under the name Stenotrophomonas maltophilia. RNAcentral's name for it is "tRNA-Asn(gtt)". Lineage: Bacteria; Pseudomonadati; Pseudomonadota; Gammaproteobacteria; Lysobacterales; Lysobacteraceae. The record is from RNAcentral.